Molecule: ribosomal RNA, 392 nt
Filed under: Eocercomonas sp.
Lineage: Eukaryota; Cercozoa; Cercomonadida; Cercomonadidae
Description: partial small subunit ribosomal RNA
Rfam family: Eukaryotic small subunit ribosomal RNA
Source: RNAcentral
AGCUCCAGUAGCGUAUAUUAAAGUUGUUGCAGUUAAAAAGCUCGUAGUUGGAUUUCUGGUUUGACAAGAAUGAGGUCGCAAGUCGUUAGACACGUGACCCAGUACUCGUCUGCCAUCCUUCUAGAAAGCGCGCCUACCCUUCACUGGGCGGGGCGCGUGCUCUAGAUCUUUUACUUUGAAGAAAUUAGAGUGUUCAAAGCAGGCUUGCGCUAUGAAUACAUUAGCAUGGAAUAAUAAUUUAGGACUUCGGUUUUAUUUUGUUGGUCUAUAAAACAGAAGUAAUGAUUGAUAGGGAUAGUUGGGGGUGCUAGUAUUCCGCGGCCAGAGGUGAAAUUCUUGGAUUCGCGGAAGACUAACUUAUGCGAAAGCAUUCGCCAAGGAUGUCUUCUUUA